UACCAGCUCUCCGAGUGGUAGGGAUGAUUAUUGGGCUUAAAGCGUCCGUAGCCGGCUUAGCAAGUCUCCUGUUAAAUUCAGCGACCUAAUCGUUGAGCCGCGGGAGACACUACUAGGCUAGGAGGCGGGAGAGGCCGACGGUAUUCUCGGGGUAGGGGUGAAAUCCUAUAAUCCCGGGAGGACCACCAGUGGCGAAGGCUGUCGGCUAGAACGCGCUCGACGGUGAGGGACGAAAGCUGGGGGAGCGAACCGGAUUAGAUACCCGGGUAGUCCCAGCUGUAAACGAUGGCGGGCUAGCUGGUUGGGGUGGCUACGAGCCACUUCGAGGUGGCGCGAGGGGAAACCAUUAACGCCCGCCGCCUGGGAAGUAUGAUCGCAAGAUUAGAAAACUUAAGGAAUUGGGACGGGGGAGUACCAACGAAGGGGUGAAGCUUGCGGUUU
Molecule: ribosomal RNA, 441 nt
Filed under: uncultured archaeon
Lineage: Archaea
Description: bacterial SSU rRNA
Rfam family: Archaeal small subunit ribosomal RNA
Source: RNAcentral